UACGUAGGGUGCAAGCGUUAUUCGGAAUUACUGGGCGUAAAGCGUGCGCAGGCGGUUCGGAAAGAGAGGUGUGAAAUCCCAGGGCUUAACCUUGGAACUGCACUUCUAACUACCGGGCUAGAGUACGGCAGAGGGGGGUAGAAUUCCACGUGUAGCAGUGAAAUGCGUAGAGAUGUGGAGGAAUACCGAUGGCGAAGGCAGCCCCCUGGGAUGAUACUGACGCUCAUGCACGAAAGCGUGGGGAGCAAACAGG
Molecule: ribosomal RNA, 253 nt
Filed under: uncultured bacterium
Lineage: Bacteria
Description: partial 16S ribosomal RNA
Rfam family: Bacterial small subunit ribosomal RNA
Source: RNAcentral